AUGGCAUCACCCCUGAUGCUAUCACAUACAAUUCGGUCCUUAAUGGUCUCUGCAAGUCUGGGAAGGCCAAUGAAGUUAACAUUCAAAGAGAUGACACUUAAAGGAUGUCGCCCAAACACUAUUACCUACAACAUACUGAUAGAGAAUUUCUGCAAGUCCAAUAAAUUGGAAGAGGCCUCUGGGGUGAUAGUGAGGAUGAGUCAAGAAGGACUAGCUCCUGAUGCAGUUAGCUUCAACACACUUAUUCAUGGAUUUUGUAGGAAUGGUGAGAUUGAGGGAGCGUACAUACUUUUUCAAAAAUUGGAGGAAAAGGGGUACUCCACAACAGCUGAUACAUUUAAUAUCCUAAUUAGCGCAUAUUGCAGUCAACUGAACAUGCAAAUGGCUGAAAGUAUUUUUGAGAAGAUGGUCCAGAAGGGAUAUAGACCUGAUUCGUAUACUUAUCGCGUCCUAAUUGAUGGAUCAUGCAAGACUGCAAAUGUUGACCGUGCAUACGAGCAUCUCGUGGAAAUGAUAAAUGGGGGUUUCAUUCCAUCAAUGGCUACUUUUGGCCGUGUAAUAAAUACACUCGCAGUGAACCAUCAGAUUACGGAAGCUGUGGGCGUUAUUCGUGUCAUGGUUAGAAUUGGAGUUGUUCCCGAGGUUGUAGAUACCAUCUUGAGUGCUGAUAAGAAGAAGAUAGCUGCACCAAAGAUACUUGUUGAGGACUUGAUGAAGAAGGGUCACAUUAGUUACCCUACUUAUGAAGUACUGCAUGAAGGAGGGAGAGAUAACAAACUAAAUAGAAAACAGGAACAGAAUAAAUAUAUUUAG
This 813-nucleotide ribosomal RNA is filed under the name Triticum aestivum (bread wheat). RNAcentral describes it as "partial small subunit ribosomal RNA". The record is from RNAcentral. Lineage: Eukaryota; Viridiplantae; Streptophyta; Magnoliopsida; Poales; Poaceae.